Molecule: ribosomal RNA, 301 nt
Filed under: uncultured bacterium
Lineage: Bacteria
Description: partial 16S ribosomal RNA
Rfam family: Bacterial small subunit ribosomal RNA
Source: RNAcentral
CAGUAGCCGCGGUAAUACGUAGGUGGCAAGCGUUGUCCGGAAUUAUUGGGCGUAAAGGGCUCGCAGGCGGUUUCUUAAGUCUGAUGUGAAAGCCCCCGGCUCAACCGGGGAGGGUCAUUGGAAACUGGGAAACUUGAGUGCAGAAGAGGAGAGUGGAAUUCCACGUGUAGCGGUGAAAUGCGUAGAGAUGUGGAGGAACACCAGUGGCGAAGGCGACUCUCUGGUCUGUAACUGACGCUGAGGAGCGAAAGCGUGGGGAGCGAACAGGAUUAGAUACCCCCGUAGUCCAUGUCUCUUAUAC